This is a long non-coding RNA of Raphanus sativus (radish), 1501 nucleotides long. RefSeq lists it as uncharacterized. NCBI's taxonomy places the organism in Eukaryota, Viridiplantae, Streptophyta, Magnoliopsida, Brassicales, Brassicaceae. The transcript has 6 exons. The record is from RefSeq and is a predicted model, not a curated record.
AACAUUUAUGUCUUGCAACAUUCAAUCGAUCUCUUCGUUUCCCCACAGUGAACGCAUGAGACUUCAUCUAUAAAUGGGAAGAGAAUUCACUGAGUAGUCUAUUUCUAGGGUUCAUGCUCAAUAACCUCUGUUAAACCGGAGGGAGUGUUAUUGGAUUCACGGUCACUUUCUGGUGGAAGCUGCCUUUAGUGUUGAAUCAUCGGGAUUUCACUCACUAUUCAAUUACAAAGUGGUGUCCUCUCUCUGCCUUCUUGUGCGAGUAGCGAUCGUGGUCUCAGCUUUCUGUUGCACACGGUUACCACUUCUUAACCAGUCUCAGAGAGAUCAAAGAAAUAUUGAGGCUGGUCAAGAAAUACAGACAAUCCAGUGGAUUAUGGCGAACAUACGGAUUGACUGUGGACCAACAGUUUGCGACAGUGUGUUUGAUGGUCUCGCCACCCUCAUACAUAAAAUUGGUUAUUGCAAGGGUUGAGCCUCAGGUCGUCGUAGCGUCCAACGUGAAUCCUAAGCUGGCAGAGGAGGACGUCUCUUCCUAAAAGCAACAUCAGGAACACAUUCUUCUUUGACAAAGAAUCUGGCCAUAGACCAGACCAUAUUUGAAGCGUAAAGAAUGACUUCUUAAACAUUUUCAUCUGUGGGGGUCCUCUGCACUGGGGAAGUUGAUAGUAUUGAAACUUCGAAGGGUUGGUGCUACACACCUUCUCCAAAUGAUGUACGAAGCUCAAUGUGGAUUUUCUUCAUUUACAUGUGGUUCUUGCCAAAAUGAAAACGCAGUUGGGGUUCUUAGGUACAGUGUCCAGUUAACAGUUUCAGAUGGCUUAGAGUCGGUUCUCUUUGUGGCAUUUGAUGGUACGAUGAGUAAUCUUAUCAAUGCACGUGCUGCAGAGGUUGCACAGCUUAUGGUAGCAACAACAAUCACUACCUUUAAAUCAUGAGUCAUGUCACUAAUAGAGUAAUAGACACGAAUACCUAAAUGGUUUUGACGUAUAGGACCCAGGUGUUGAGGACCCGACGAAAGAUCUCCCCCACAGUGCAUAGAAUAUGUUCUGCGUUAACUCUUUCUGGUAUUUAGACUGUUAUUUUGUUUAUUCGCAGAGGGGAGAUAACAACCCCGAAGAUAAUGUGUCUGGAACUAAAGAAGUGAUUACUAAGCCCUCCAAUAAUGUAACCAAAGUACCUGCUGCUGCCUCUGGUGGGAUGGCUGCCUUGCGGUGAUACACAGCGAGCUACUGCUUCUAACAGCGAACUUCCCUCAUGAACGUAUUGCUUGUGAAGACACUGAUGAGGAUGCACAACUCCAGUAUGAUAGGUGCACCGGGAAAAAGCUGAUGGAAAAAGCUGAUGGAACCGUAUUUUAUAAACUAUGGAUUACUGAAUAUUGUAAAUAAUAAAAAUGAUAAAAUGAUACCAAAGAGUAAGAAAAUGAUGAUACAACUGCAGAGGCGAUAUAUUAUCUCAUUCUUUAACUCAAAAUACAUCUUGUAGUGCGACAGUUCGAUAA